AUUGAACGCUGGCGGAAUGCUUUACACAUGCAAGUCGAACGGCAGCACGGACUUCGGUCUGGUGGCGAGUGGCGAACGGGUGGGUAAUGUAUCGGAACGUGCCCAGUCGUGGGGGAUAACGUAGCGAAAGCUACGCCAAUACCGCAUACGAUCUAAGGAUGAAAGCGGGGGAUCGCAAGACCUCGAGCGAUUGGAGCGGCCGAUGGCAGAUUAGGUAGUUGGUAGGGUAAAGGCCUACCAAGCCGACGAUCUGUAGCUGGUCUGAGAGGAUGAUCAGCCACACUGGGACUGAGACACGGCCCAGACUCCUACGGGAGGCAGCAGUGGGGAAUUUUGGACAAUGGACGCAAGUCUGAUCCAGCCAUUCCGCGUGCAGGAUGAAGGCCCUCGGGUUGUAAACUGCUUUUGUACAGAACAAAAAGGCUCUGGUUAAUACCUAGGGCUCAUGACGGUACUGUAAGAAUAAGCACCGGCUAACUACGUGCCAGCCGCCGCAGUAA
RNAcentral lists this ribosomal RNA (500 nucleotides) under uncultured bacterium. RNAcentral's name for it is "partial 16S ribosomal RNA". It matches the Rfam family "Bacterial small subunit ribosomal RNA", at positions 30 to 523 of the family's 1533-position model. The record is from RNAcentral.